RNAcentral lists this ribosomal RNA (253 nucleotides) under uncultured bacterium. RNAcentral describes it as "partial 16S ribosomal RNA". It matches the Rfam family "Bacterial small subunit ribosomal RNA", at positions 524 to 776 of the family's 1533-position model. The record is from RNAcentral.
UACGUAGGGUGCGAGCGUUGUCCGGAAUUAUUGGGCGUAAAGAGCGUGUAGGCGGCCAUACAGGUCCGUUGUGAAAACUGGAGGCUUAACCUCCAGACGUCGAUGGAAACCGUAUGGCUAGAGUCCGGAAGAGGAGAGUGGAAUUCCCGGUGUAGUGGUGGAAUGCGUAGAUAUCGGGAGGAACACCAGUGGCGAAGGCGGUUGCCUGGAGCUUUGCUGACGCUGAGGCGCGAAAGCGUGGGGAGCGAUCCGG